Molecule: ribosomal RNA, 1405 nt
Filed under: endophytic bacterium 202L-1
Lineage: Bacteria
Description: 16S ribosomal RNA
Rfam family: Bacterial small subunit ribosomal RNA
Source: RNAcentral
AGUCGAGCGGUAGCACAGAGAGCUUGCUCUCGGGUGACGAGCGGCGGACGGGUGAGUAAUGUCUGGGAAACUGCCUGAUGGAGGGGGAUAACUACUGGAAACGGUAGCUAAUACCGCAUAACGUCGCAAGACCAAAGUGGGGGACCUUCGGGCCUCAUGCCAUCAGAUGUGCCCAGAUGGGAUUAGCUGGUAGGUGGGGUAACGGCUCACCUAGGCGACGAUCCCUAGCUGGUCUGAGAGGAUGACCAGCCACACUGGAACUGAGACACGGUCCAGACUCCUACGGGAGGCAGCAGUGGGGAAUAUUGCACAAUGGGCGCAAGCCUGAUGCAGCCAUGCCGCGUGUGUGAAGAAGGCCUUCGGGUUGUAAAGCACUUUCAGCGGGGAGGAAGGCGGUGAGGUUAAUAACCUCAUCGAUUGACGUUACCCGCAGAAGAAGCACCGGCUAACUCCGUGCCAGCAGCCGCGGUAAUACGGAGGGUGCAAGCGUUAAUCGGAAUUACUGGGCGUAAAGCGCACGCAGGCGGUCUGUCAAGUCGGAUGUGAAAUCCCCGGGCUCAACCUGGGAACUGCAUUCGAAACUGGCAGGCUAGAGUCUUGUAGAGGGGGGUAGAAUUCCAGGUGUAGCGGUGAAAUGCGUAGAGAUCUGGAGGAAUACCGGUGGCGAAGGCGGCCCCCUGGACAAAGACUGACGCUCAGGUGCGAAAGCGUGGGGAGCAAACAGGAUUAGAUACCCUGGUAGUCCACGCUGUAAACGAUGUCGAUUUGGAGGUUGUGCCCUUGAGGCGUGGCUUCCGGAGCUAACGCGUUAAAUCGACCGCCUGGGGAGUACGGCCGCAAGGUUAAAACUCAAAUGAAUUGACGGGGGCCCGCACAAGCGGUGGAGCAUGUGGUUUAAUUCGAUGCAACGCGAAGAACCUUACCUGGUCUUGACAUCCACAGAACUUUCCAGAGAUGGAUUGGUGCCUUCGGGAACUGUGAGACAGGUGCUGCAUGGCUGUCGUCAGCUCGUGUUGUGAAAUGUUGGGUUAAGUCCCGCAACGAGCGCAACCCUUAUCCUUUGUUGCCAGCGGUUAGGCCGGGAACUCAAAGGAGACUGCCAGUGAUAAACUGGAGGAAGGUGGGGAUGACGUCAAGUCAUCAUGGCCCUUACGACCAGGGCUACACACGUGCUACAAUGGCAUAUACAAAGAGAAGCGACCUCGCGAGAGCAAGCGGACCUCAUAAAGUAUGUCGUAGUCCGGAUUGGAGUCUGCAACUCGACUCCAUGAAGUCGGAAUCGCUAGUAAUCGUAGAUCAGAAUGCUACGGUGAAUACGUUCCCGGGCCUUGUACACACCGCCCGUCACACCAUGGGAGUGGGUUGCAAAAGAAGUAGGUAGCUUAACCUUCGGGAGGGCGCUACC